Long non-coding RNA from Sander lucioperca (pikeperch), 1026 nucleotides. RefSeq lists it as uncharacterized. Lineage: Eukaryota; Metazoa; Chordata; Actinopteri; Perciformes; Percidae. The record is from RefSeq and is a predicted model, not a curated record. The transcript is spliced from 2 exons.
UCACUGAUUGAACAGAACAACGCUAAAUAACUACAAUGUAUUUUGGGAUAAGGCCAAUUGGGUUGCAAUCAGAUUAGUUCAAAUUAUGUGUUCAUUUGAAUUUAUUCCAAAUGGAAGUGAUAGCCUUAAUGUAUUGGUAUGUAAUAAACUAAAUUAGCCAGUGAUAUCAGAUGUUACGUAUCUCAGACAAUGACAUUCUUGGAGACUACUUAAAUUCUUGUGGACUUGUGCAUGAAUAUGGUUAGUUUUAGCAUAAACCAUCAAAAACGUAUUGAUCUGUUCCUAAUAUAAGAAAUAUUUGUAUUUCUCUCAUGUACCUAAUCUCAUGAUCUAAGUGUACUUACCUAGUGUUUUAUAUCUGUCUCUUAAGUGAAGCUAAUGGACACAUUCUUGCACUGUGUUUUCUCUAGUUACCCAUUAGGGUUACUAUUUUUGAAGUACAUAUGUUGGGCAUAGAAAAUAGAGUUGCUUGAGCAAAAGAUUGUGAAAGCAGGAUGGUUCACAACAGCUCAGUCUUACUACAGAGACAGAUAACAGAACAGCGUAACCCACAGGCCUGCUGAUUACAGCGGAGCCUGUCAGCAUUGUUCUACUGUACAUGGGCUGAAAAGAAAAUGUCCCUGAAGUGUGAAAGUCACUUGUAAUACAGUAUAUUUUGAAGGUGAGUUCCUCACUAUGCUCUAUGAAUCCCUAGUGGUCCAAGCCCUGUUUGACUACUUGCACUUUUUUACCUUGGAUCUACCUUUUCAACUGCACUGAUAUGAGCAGUUACUGUGUUGGUGUCAUUUAUGAUAUAUUUAUGUUUUACAAACCAAACCAAAUGCCUUGUGGUUUUACUGUGAUGAGUUUCAGUGGCAUCAAUACCAAGAUUGACCUAAUGUAGAGAGCACGUGUGCAUCUCUGCUUCCUCAAAGACCACUUCAAUGGUACAGUUUAAUUACAUGGCAUUCCUAUGUGAUGUUUUCUAUUUGACUUUUUUGUGAUAUUCGUAAAUAGAAUCUUUAAAUAAAGUGGACUACCUGAAAA